RNAcentral lists this long non-coding RNA (460 nucleotides) under Mus pahari (shrew mouse). Its description in RNAcentral is "lncRNA (MGP_PahariEiJ_G0004685.1)". The stretch from base 249 to 438 matches the Rfam family "Small Cajal body specific RNA 16". The record is from RNAcentral. Lineage: Eukaryota; Metazoa; Chordata; Mammalia; Rodentia; Muridae.
AUUUGCAGAGCGGGUUCCGCCGGGGAGGAGAACUCGCGUGCUUGGUGCAGAGGCGAACGCAGCCUGCGGGGCGCGGCCCAGGGGCGCGUCGUGGAGCCUCCAGAAGGCGAUCGAAAUGAACCACAUCCCCCAGCGACCGGACGGAAGCACGCACUAGCUCCGUUCUCCCGGGGAGAGUUUGCAGUGACUUGAGCUUGGGUGGCCCAGGUAUGUCACGCCUGGGGGAGGGACGGUGACCUCUGAGACCCACGGUCUGGGAAAAGGCUCCUGUGUGGCUGAACCCGCCCGAGGUGGGUGCAGCCCCGUACCAGACAGCCCGACCUUGACCUAAAGUAAAAUCCCAGAGGAGGAACGUCUUCCCUGGGGUUAGAAUUUGCAGUAACAGGUGUGGACAUCUUAGCAGCAGUUUGGUGGUCAUGUAUGAUACUGCAAACAGGAGCCCUGCUGAAGCUGUGGGGAC